This is a long non-coding RNA of Bactrocera tryoni, 362 nucleotides long. RefSeq lists it as uncharacterized. The transcript has 2 exons. The record is from RefSeq and is a predicted model, not a curated record. Lineage: Eukaryota; Metazoa; Arthropoda; Insecta; Diptera; Tephritidae.
AUCGUAGCCGCUGUCUUUUAAUUCGCUGAACUAUGUCAAUGUCAUCAUACAUAUAUAUCGAGCAGAUAUUGUUAACGCGUGCAUAAAGAAAUCGGAAUUGUGGUCUCAUGUACAAAAAUUAAAAUUGACUGCCAAUAUGCGAAUAAAUCUUUGUGGAGCUGGACCAUCCAAUCGGUUUGCAGAGUUCCUACUUAAAAUAGGAACCUGUGUUAGAACAGUUUACCAACUUAUUGAUAACGUGUAUCCAGAUAUUAUUAAUUUGCACCACAAGGACUCUAAGUGGUUAUAUGAGCGAGCUAUAAUUACUUCGACGAAUUCCGCUGCAGACGAAAUUAACAAAGCCGUUUGUCAAAGAAUAUUAU